UGAGACACGGACCAGACUCCUACGGGAGGCAGCAGUGAGGAAUAUUGGUCAAUGGGCGAGAGCCUGAACCAGCCAAGUCGCGUGAGGGAGUACUGCCCUAUGGGUUGUAAACCUCUUUUGUCGGGGAGCAAAAGCCGGACGUGUCCGGCUGUGAGAGUACCCGAAGAAAAAGCAUCGGCUAACUCCGUGCCAGCAGCCGCGGUAAUACGGAGGAUGCGAGCGUUAUCCGGAUUUAUUGGGUUUAAAGGGUGCGCAGGCGGAUUUUUAAGUCAGCGGUCAAAUCGUGGGGCUCAACCCCAUCCAGCCGUUGAAACUGGGGAUCUAGAGUGUGCGAGAGGUAUGCGGAAUGCGUGGUGUAGCGGUGAAAUGCAUAGAUAUCACGCAGAACCCCGAUUGCGAAGGCAGCAUACCGGUGCACAACUGACGCUCAGGCACGAAAGCGUGGGUAUCGAACAGGAUUAGAUACCCUGGUAGUCCACGCAGUAAACGAUGAAUGCUACCUGUUUGGCCAGAUUGAUGGCUGAGCGGG
This 529-nucleotide ribosomal RNA is filed under the name uncultured bacterium. Its description in RNAcentral is "bacterial SSU rRNA". It matches the Rfam family "Bacterial small subunit ribosomal RNA", at positions 320 to 847 of the family's 1533-position model. The record is from RNAcentral.